CAUCAACCAGCAAACAGCAACAGGUGGAAUCAGAGAGCAUCACAGCUUCAAUCACUGCAGUAAAGACAAAUCUACGGCAGACAAAACCUUAAAGCAUCUUUCCAAAAUGAUGAAGAUCUGUCUCAUUCUUCUUCUGUGUGUCGCCACUGGCAAUGCACAGACCACCACAGCUGCCCCGACAACAACCACAGCUGCUCCAACAACAACCACAGAUGCUCCAACAACAACCACAGAUGCUCCAACAACAACCACAGCUAC
Long non-coding RNA from Sander lucioperca (pikeperch), 258 nucleotides. RefSeq lists it as uncharacterized. Lineage: Eukaryota; Metazoa; Chordata; Actinopteri; Perciformes; Percidae. The transcript has 3 exons. The record is from RefSeq and is a predicted model, not a curated record.